GAGACAGCAGUCGCCGCGGUAAUACGGGGGGGGCAAGUGUUAUUCGGAAUGACUGGGCGUAAAGGGCACGUAGGCGGUGAAAAGGGUGGAAAGUGAAAGUCGCCAAAACACUGGCGGGGUGCUUUCUUGACCAUUUCACUUGAGUGAGAUAGGGGAGAGUGGAAUUUCGUGUGGAGGGAUCAAAUCCUAAGAUAUACGAAGGAACGCCAACCGCGAAGGCAGCUCUCUGGGUCCCCACUGACGCUGGGGUGCGAAAGCAUGGGGAGCAAACAGGAUCAGAUACCCGGGUAGUCCCUGUCUCUUAUACA
This 308-nucleotide ribosomal RNA is filed under the name uncultured bacterium. RNAcentral describes it as "partial 16S ribosomal RNA". It matches the Rfam family "Bacterial small subunit ribosomal RNA", at positions 505 to 808 of the family's 1533-position model. The record is from RNAcentral.